CCUACGGGAGGCAGCAGUGAGGAAUAUUGGUCAAUGGACGAGAGUCUGAACCAGCCAAGUAGCGUGAAGGAUGACUGCCCUAUGGGUUGUAAACUUCUUUUAUAUGGGAAUAAAAUGUUCCACGUGUGGGAUUUUGUAUGUACCAUAUGAAUAAGGGUCGGCUAACUCCGUGCCAGCAGCCGCGGUAAUACGGAGGAUCCGAGCGUUAUCCGGAUUUAUUGGGUUUAAAGGGAGCGUAGGUGGAUUGUUAAGUCAGUUGUGAAAGUUUGCGGCUCAACCGUAAAAUUGCAGUUGAAACUGGCAGUCUUGAGUACAGUAGAGGUGAGCGGAAUUCGUGGUGUAGCGGUGAAAUGCUUAGAUAUCACGAAGAACUCCGAUUGCGAAGGCAGUUCACUGGACUGCAACUGACACUGAGGCUCGAAAGUGUGGGUAUCAAACAGGAUUAGAUACCCCUGUAGUC
RNAcentral lists this ribosomal RNA (460 nucleotides) under uncultured bacterium. RNAcentral's name for it is "partial 16S ribosomal RNA". It matches the Rfam family "Bacterial small subunit ribosomal RNA", at positions 338 to 795 of the family's 1533-position model. The record is from RNAcentral.